RNAcentral lists this ribosomal RNA (468 nucleotides) under uncultured bacterium. RNAcentral describes it as "partial 16S ribosomal RNA". It matches the Rfam family "Bacterial small subunit ribosomal RNA", at positions 28 to 507 of the family's 1533-position model. The record is from RNAcentral.
GACGAACGCUGGCGGCGUGCUUAACACAUGCAAGUCGAACGGAAAGGCCCUGUUUUUGUGGGGUGCUCGAGUGGCGAACGGGUGAGUUACACGUGAGUAACCUGUCCUUGACUUUGGUAUAACUUCAGGAAACUGGGGCUAAUACCGGAUAGGAGCUCCUGCUGCAUGGUGGGGGUUGGAAAGUUUCGGCGGUUGGGGAUGGACUCGCGGCUCAUCAGCUUGUUGGUGGGGUAGUGGCUUAGCAUGGCCUUGACCGGUAGCCGACCUGAGAGGGUAACCGGCCACAUUAGAACGGGGAUGAGACACAGACUCGUACGGGAGGCAACGGUGGAGAAUAGUACACAAUGGGAGGAGGGCAGGUGUGACAAAGCAGCGUGGGGGGUGACAGCCUGCGGGUUGUGAACCAAAUUCGCCUGAGACGAGGCGUGAAUGACGGUAACGGGAGAAGAAGCACCGGCUAACUACGUG